AAUAGAUACCCAGGUAGUCCACGCCGUAAACGAUGAGUGCUAAGUGUUAGAGGGUUUCCGCCCUUUAGUGCUGCAGCUAACGCAUUAAGCACUCCGCCUGGGGAGUACGGCCGCAAGGCUGAAACUCAAAGGAAUUGACGGGGGCCCGCACAAGCGGUGGAGCAUGUGGUUUAAUUCGAAGCAACGCGAAGAACCUUACCAGGUCUUGACAUCCUCUGCCAACCCUAGAGAUAGGGCGUUCCCCUUCGGGGGACAGAGUGACAGGUGGUGCAUGGUUGUCGUCAGCUCGUGUCGUGAGAUGUUGGGUUAAGUCCCGCAACGAGCGCAACCCUUGAUCUUAGUUGCCAGCAUUCAGUUGGGCACUCUAAGGUGACUGCCGGUGACAAACCGGAGGAAGGUGGGGAUGACGUCAAAUCAUCAUGCCCCUUAUGACCUGGGCUACACACGUGCUACAAUGGAUGGUACAAAGAGUUGCGAACCCGCGAGGGUAAGCCAAUCUCAUAAAAGCCAUUCUCAGUUCGGAUUGUAGG
Molecule: ribosomal RNA, 530 nt
Filed under: uncultured bacterium
Lineage: Bacteria
Description: bacterial SSU rRNA
Rfam family: Bacterial small subunit ribosomal RNA
Source: RNAcentral